Molecule: long non-coding RNA, 1455 nt
Organism: Zea mays
Lineage: Eukaryota; Viridiplantae; Streptophyta; Magnoliopsida; Poales; Poaceae
Exons: 2
Source: RefSeq, a predicted model, not a curated record
CUUAAUUCGAUUUAUCUUCUGUUUCACAUCGGCAAAACCACUAUAAAAACGGCUAAGAGUGCAACAAUGAACCGUUUUUAAAAAAUAAAGAGGGCUUAAAAACUGAUCUAAUGGAUGAAGAGGAAUAUCGGCCCAAGCCCAAACAAUAAGCUCACAGUCAUAGACGUGGUGGCCUUGAUAGGGCCCAAGUAAUAAUAUAACCACGAUUCACGGUCUCCCGGUUGGAUUCCCCGGCAAGCGGCCGCGCCCGGAGCCGGAACCCAACCGACGAGUUCUUCCACCCACGCGACGGCGACACUGCCACCGCGCUCGGAGGCGCUGAAGCCAGCCGAGAGGCGGGGCCCGGCCCCCCGGCGACUAGUAGGCAGCCACAGCCAACCACUCGAAGUGUUCGGUUCCACUUCCACGUUCAGGUAGAGCUCGUCGCCGCAACAUCGACCUUCUCCGUCCAGUCUGAAAACAGGGACCCUUGAAUGAAGAAUUCAAAUGAAGAGAAGAAACCUAAGGAAAGGAGAGCAGAACAAGAUUGGUACCUUUGCUGUGCCUGGCCCCACUGUUAGCUCUCUGAAGAGUUAAAGCUGCGACGGAGGCUACAACGACAAAGCCUAAUCUCACAAGCAUGACUCCGUUCACUCAUCACUCUGCUGGCCUCAACCGGCAGGAGGGCCGAGACGGGGAGCCCCCUCUACUCAUCAAAAAAUGGUGACCCGGAGUUAGAGCAGCAGGUACGAGUGGCCUAUCAGGCUAAAACUCUCUUCAUAUCUUUUAGCCCAGAGAUGGAGAUGGAUUGGAGGAGCUGCUUGCGUGCGAGUGCUGAUGAACACACACCACCGGAACAUGUGGCUGGUUUUAUUCAUCCUAUUUCGGCGCUGCGAUUGCUUCUUAUGUGUUUAUCCGGUUGCAAAAACGAACUCAUGCAAGUCACUUUCAUGUCUGUGUCCAGUAUACUGUCGUACUAUCUGGUAGCAGACAAAAUUUCUAAAUGCUGAUGGUACAGGGAGGAAAGAACGCCUCUUCGUGGCUGCUGCUUUGGCCCGGCCGUGAAGUACAGAGCGAAAGACUUGUGGCUUGGAAGCCGGUAGGCCCAUUUGCUAUGCACGGGAUGACGAGAAUGGGUGGUGCUGGCCUGCUGGGUAUCACAAGAAAAAUGACGAGGGGAGUUAUCAGGCUCACAGGAUGGAGCAUGUCGUUACCCUGACAUGGAUCAGUCUAGAUUUGUUUCAUCCAAAGCAAUACUGGAUUUUUUUUUCUUGUUUCACUGUAUACGCUGGAAAACUAGGACAGAUUUUGACUGGGCGUAAUUGGAAUAACUGACCUAGUUAACUGCUACUGCCUCUUUCCUGAAUUAUAAGGUGUUCUAGAGGCGCAUAGAAAGAGCUAAAAGCCUAAACAUCUUAUAAUUUAGAACUCAUGGCACUAUUUACCUCCGGUUUAAAUUCAAAUACUGUUUUAUUA